Molecule: ribosomal RNA, 1450 nt
Filed under: Streptomyces scabiei
Lineage: Bacteria; Bacillati; Actinomycetota; Actinomycetes; Kitasatosporales; Streptomycetaceae
Description: 16S ribosomal RNA
Rfam family: Bacterial small subunit ribosomal RNA
Source: RNAcentral
GGCGGCGUGCUUACACAUGCAAGUCGAACGAUGAACCACUUCGGUGGGGAUUAGUGGCGAACGGGUGAGUAACACGUGGGCAAUCUGCCCUUCACUCUGGGACAAGCCCUGGAAACGGGGUCUAAUACCGGAUACGACACUCUCGGGCAUCCGAUGAGUGUGGAAAGCUCCGGCGGUGAAGGAUGAGCCCGCGGCCUAUCAGCUUGUUGGUGAGGUAACGGCUCACCAAGGCGACGACGGGUAGCCGGCCUGAGAGGGCGACCGGCCACACUGGGACUGAGACACGGCCCAAACUCCUACGGGAGGCAGCAGUGGGGAAUAUUGCACAAUGGGCGAAAGCCUGAUGCAGCGACCCCCCGUGAGGGAUGACGGCCUUCGGGUUGUAAACCUCUUUCAGCAGGGAAGAAGCGAAAGUGACGGUACCUGCAGAAAGAAGCGCCGGGCUAACUACGUGCCAGCAGCCGCGGUAAUACGUAGGGCGCGAGCGUUGUCCGGAAAUUAUUGGGCGUAAAGAGCUCGUAGGCGGUCUGUCGCGUCGGAUGUGAAAGCCCGGGGCUUAACCCCGGGUCUGCAUUCGAUACGGGCAGACUAGAGUGUGGUAGGGGAGAUCGGAAUUCCUGGUGUAGCGGUGAAAUGCGCAGAUAUCAGGAGGAACACCGGUGGCGAAGGCGGAUCUCUGGGCCAUUACUGACGCUGAGGAGCGAAAGCGUGGGGAGCGAACAGGAUUAGAUACCCUGGUAGUCCACGCCGUAAACGGUGGGAACUAGGUGUUGGCGACAUUCCACGUCGUCGGUGCCGCAGCUAACGCAUUAAGUUCCCCGCCUGGGGAGUACGGCCGCAAGGCUAAAACUCAAAGGAUUUGACGGGGGCCCGCACAAGCAGCGGAGCAUGUGGCUUAAUUCGACGCAACGCGAAGAACUUUACCAAGGCUUGACAUACACCGGAAACGGCCAGAGAUGGUCGCCCCCUUGUGGUCGGUGUACAGGUGGUGCAUGGCUGUCGUCAGCUCGUGUCGUGAGAUGUUGGGUUAAGUCCCGCAACGAGCGCAACCCUUGUUCUGUGUUGCCAGCAUGCCCUUCGGGGUGAUGGGGACUCACAGGAGACUGCCGGGGUCAACUCGGAGGAAGGUGGGGACGACGUCAAGUCAUCAUGCCCCUUAUGUCUUGGGCUGCACACGUGCUACAAUGGCAGGUACAAUGAGCUGCGAAGCCGUGAGGCGGAGCGAAUCUCAAAAAGCCUGUCUCAGUUCGGAUUGGGGUCUGCAACUCGACCCCAUGAAGUCGGAGUUGCUAGUAAUCGCAGAUCAGCAUUGCUGCGGUGAAUACGUUCCCGGGCCUUGUACACACCGCCCGUCACGUCACGAAAGUCGGUAACACCCGAAGCCGGUGGCCCAACCCGUAAGGGAGGGAGCUGUCGAAGGUGGGACUGGCGAUUGGGACGAAGUCGUAAC